AUGAACUACAAUAUGCAGGGGAUGGUGAAGACCAUUCCUGAAGUAUUUUCAAUGCUUAAGUCAGCAGAGGUUGAAAUCAAAAAGGAGCAUCAAGUGUUGAUGGUCAAUAAGACCACUAAGUUUAAGAAGGGCAAGGGUAAGAAAAACUUCAAGAAGGACGGUAAAGAUGUUGCCGCGCCCGGUAAGCCAGUUGCCGGGAAGAAGUCAAAGAAUGGACCCAAGCCCGAGACUGAGUGCUUUUAUUGCAAGGGGAAGGGUCACUGGAAGCGGAACUGCCCCAAAUACUUAGCGGAUAAGAAGGCCGACAACACGAAAGCAGGAGCUGCGGAAUAA
This 333-nucleotide ribosomal RNA is filed under the name Triticum aestivum (bread wheat). RNAcentral describes it as "partial small subunit ribosomal RNA". Lineage: Eukaryota; Viridiplantae; Streptophyta; Magnoliopsida; Poales; Poaceae. The record is from RNAcentral.